RNAcentral lists this ribosomal RNA (579 nucleotides) under uncultured bacterium. RNAcentral describes it as "bacterial SSU rRNA". It matches the Rfam family "Bacterial small subunit ribosomal RNA", at positions 33 to 607 of the family's 1533-position model. The record is from RNAcentral.
ACGCGGUGGCGUGCUAACACAUGCAAGUCGAGCGGUAACAGGUGUAGCAAUACAUGCUGACGAGCGGCGAACGGGUGAGUAAUGCUUCGGAAUCUGCCCAAUGGUGGGGAAUAACCAGCCGAAAGGUUGGCUAAUACCGCAUAAGUCCUACGGGAGAAAGCGGGGGAUCGUAAGACCUCGCGCCGAUGGAUGAGCCGAAGCCGGAUUAGCUAGUUGGUAGGGUAACGGCCUACCAAGGCGACGAUCCGUAGCUGGUCUGAGAGGACGACCAGUCACACUGGGACUGAGACACGGCCCAGACUCCUACGGGAGGCAGCAGUGGGGAAUAUUGGACAAUGGGGGAAACCCUGAUCCAGCGACGCCGCGUGUGUGAGGAAGGCCUGCGGGUUGUAAAGCACUUUUAGUGGGGAUGAAAAGCUCAGGGCUAAUACCUCUGGGUCUUGANCUAACCCAAAGAAAAAGCACCGGCUAACUCUGUGCCAGCAGCCGCGGUAAUACAGAGGGUGCAAGCGUUAAUCGGAAUUACUGGGCGUUAAGCGUGCGUAGACGGUUAUGUAAGUCGGGUGUGAAAGCCCCGGG